This 1650-nucleotide long non-coding RNA is filed under the name Homo sapiens (human). RNAcentral describes it as "HSALNT0405134". Lineage: Eukaryota; Metazoa; Chordata; Mammalia; Primates; Hominidae. The record is from RNAcentral.
CCGCCCCCAAGUCAACACGGACUUCCCUCCCUGCGCGCCAGAACUUUGCGUUGUUCUUAGUGGCAUCUGGGGUCGAGGAGGGCGACUGUCAGCCAGUUGGGGGAUGUUUUCUUCUUGGUCUCUCGGCUUCUGCUUCCCUGUGAGCUGGGCAGCCUCAGCCCAGGUCCUAUCCGGUACUCAGCUGGCCUCGGUGUGCACAGCGCAGGCUUGAGUGCAGCCGUGGGGGCGGGCGGGGCAGAAGCAGGGCCCCUGGGAACAGCUGAGUCUGAAGGGUCAGAAGCCACGGCCCCUGUGGGGGGCUCUGGGGCAGCCAGGGGAGCUGCUCGUUAGUCGUCUCUGGGGCAGAAGGAAGGGACCUUCACCUGGGUUGGGACUGGGCCUGGGUCCCCAGUCUCACAGGGAGCUCGUCCUGAUUGUACCUGCCCGGCUGUGACGGCUGAGCCCGGGCUCCUGGAGGCAAGGCCACCUCAGGCCUCCAGGGCCGGAGCCGCAAGGAGCUGCUGGGUUUCCACAGGGCCACGGGGGCUGCGGCCACACGGAGCGGGAGCACAGGCCACCAGGCCCUCGGGUUCCAAGAUGCAGCUACUGGAGACAGAGUUCUCGCACACCGUGGGCGAGCUCAUCGAGGUGCACCUGCGGCGCCAGGACAGCAUCCCUGCCUUCCUCAGCUCGCUCACCCUCGAGCUCUUCAGCCUCCAGACCGUGGCGUAGCCUGCGCCUCGGGGGCAUAGCCAGAGCCACUCUACUUGGCCUGACCUGCAGGUCCCUUGCCCCGCCAGCCACAGGCUGGGUGCACGUCCUGCCUCUCCAGCUCCACAGGGCAGCGGCAUGACUGACAGACACGCUGGGACCUACGUCGGGCUUCCUGCUGGGGCGGCCAGCACCCUCCCCACGUGCAGACCCCAUGCGUCCCGGAGCCUGGUGUGUGGGCGUCGGCCACCAGCCCGGGCUCCUCACCUUGUGAAAUAAAAUCUUCUCCCCUAGACACUCCCACUCGCCCUGUGUAUCUGUGGCCUAGCCCUAGCAGGGUAGGCGGGAGGAGGGGAAGGAGCUCCCUCAGCAGCCGCCGCCAUCUGCAGACCGGACAACGUUAGGGUGAGUCAGGCAUUUCCGCUCAGGGAGUGCACAGGUGGCAGCUGGGACCAAGGGUGGCUGGGGUGCCCCCCCACCACCAUGGGCUGAGGCCCCUCCGCGUAGCAGCUUCCAGCUCUGCCUCAAGGCCGGGCCCCAGCUCUGGGGCUUCCCUUUGCUGAUGGAACCCGGAUGGAGGCACAGGGGCUGGGGGGACUGUCCUCACAGAUAAGGGUGCAUCGAGGAGAGACUGCCCUCUGUGCCCAUCUCUCCAGGGCCAUAGAAAUACAUUCCAUAGACCUAAGCAGUAUUUGAAUUUUUAUAACAAUAGCAUAUGUGUUUCUUAUGUGAUUUACUAGAAACAAUUUAAUUUCUCGAGUUGUAAAAAGGUGUAUUUUAAACCUGUGUAAAGGUACCUGGAGAUCAUUGUCAUUCAGAAUAACAAAAUAAAACAGCAAUAUAAAAACACAGAUAUUAUCAUAGUACAAUGUUAAAUACUAUAAUAUUCAAGAUGAUAUUAAAAUUACAUAUAUCUACAUCUAUAUGCAUAUAAGGAUGUCAAUAAAUGAUAUUAAUGUC